UACGGAGGGUGCGAGCGUUAAUCGGAAUUACUGGGCGUAAAGCGCACGUAGGCGGUUGAGUAAGUCUGCCGUGAAAGCCCUGGGCUUAACCGAGGAAUGGCGGUGGAGACUGCUGAGCUAGAGUGUGAGAGAGGGGGGUGGAAUUCCCGGUGUAGCGGUGAAAUGCGUAGAGAUCGGGAGGAACACCAGUGGCGAAGGCGGCCCCCUGGUUCAACACUGACGCUGAGGUGCGAAAGCGUGGGGAGCAAACAUG
Molecule: ribosomal RNA, 253 nt
Filed under: uncultured bacterium
Lineage: Bacteria
Description: partial 16S ribosomal RNA
Rfam family: Bacterial small subunit ribosomal RNA
Source: RNAcentral